Molecule: ribosomal RNA, 253 nt
Filed under: uncultured bacterium
Lineage: Bacteria
Description: partial 16S ribosomal RNA
Rfam family: Bacterial small subunit ribosomal RNA
Source: RNAcentral
GACGUAGGUGGCGAACGUUAUCCGGAAUUAUUGGGCGUAAAGAGUGCGUAGGCGGUUUUCUAAGUUUGGUGUGAAAUCUCCCGGCUCAACUGGGAGGGUGCGCCGAAGACUGGAAGGCUUGAGUAUGGGAGAGGUAAGCGGAAUUCCUGGUGUAGCGGUGAAAUGCGUAGAUAUCAGGAGGAACACCUGCGGUGUAGACGGCUUACUGGACCAUAACUGACGCUGAGGCACGAAAGCGUGGGUAGCAAACAGG